This 480-nucleotide ribosomal RNA is filed under the name uncultured microeukaryote. RNAcentral's name for it is "bacterial SSU rRNA". It matches the Rfam family "Eukaryotic small subunit ribosomal RNA", at positions 16 to 565 of the family's 1831-position model. The record is from RNAcentral.
GCCAGUAAUAUAUGCUUGGAUGAAGGAUUAACCCCUUAAAAGGUAAAAAUAAGUCGGUUUCGACAAAUCUGUGGAAGGCUAAGUAAAAAAGGGAAAAAGAAAGAGGGGGAGAACUUUGGGGAUAAUGAAAGGAAAUCUUUCAAUAAUACAAAAAGUGUAGCAAAGUACAUAUGAAGGGACUUGCUACUGAUAAGAGGGGUAACCAUCGACCCCUCAUCUGACUCUUAUGUAUCAAUUAAACUUUAGGGUAAGGGCCUAAAGUGAUGAUAACGCAUACAGAGAAUUAGGGUUCGAUUCUGGAGAGGGAGCACGAGAGACGGCUACCACUUCUAAGGAAGGCAGCAGGCGCGCAAUUUGUCCAAUGUGGAAAUCACGAGGCAGCGAACAUCAAUAACAAUGAGAGACUGAAUAACAGUUUUUCAAUUGGAAUGAGACAUGAGAAGAGAAAAAAGCGAGAAUCAAGUGGAGGGAAAGUCUGGU